Non-coding RNA from Oryctolagus cuniculus (rabbit), 6058 nucleotides. NCBI's taxonomy places the organism in Eukaryota, Metazoa, Chordata, Mammalia, Lagomorpha, Leporidae. The record is from RefSeq and is a predicted model, not a curated record.
CGUCUAACAACUAAGUCUAAGUUCCAUAGACCAAAAGUUAAAUUAUUCUUCAUAUUUGUUCCAAGGUGCCAGGAUUCCAGGAGGAAAUAAAACUCAAUUUCAAAAACAAACUUUACAGUUUAAAAUGAGAACAAGCCAGCUUUUCUCUUGUGUACAAAGGGCUAUUUCCAAGCAAGAGUGAAAUUAAACAGCUUGUCGAAGGAUGUCAUUAACAGUUGAUGUAGGACAUUUGUUGAACAAAUAUCUAAGUAUGACGCCUCCACGUGAGACCCUUGACCUCAAGCAUCCAAUUGUCUUAUUGAAAAGCUGUGAAAAUAAACCAAAGCAGGUUGCAAGGAAUGCCUUGUGAGCCAGAGGAUUUCAGCAUUGUACGGGCGACAAAGGGCCAUCAUCUACUGGUUUGCUACUUCCUCUUUAGAUCAUAUGCCUCAGCACUUGCUCCCUGAAAAAUCCUGGGAUCCCCUGUGACUUCUCCACCAUAUUGUCAUCCACCUUCGGCUUCAACUCCUUCUGUCAUGGCAAUUUUAAUCUUGGCAAGGUGCUCUUCCAUGGUUCUUACAUCACAUUGCCCUCUGUGACAUCAUAGUAAAAUAAGCAUGGAAUUUCCCCUUGCGUGGAAAUUUCCCCAAGCAUGGACUCUUUUAUGUGGCAUAAAAUGAUGUAGCACAUGACCACACCCAGAGCAGAAUGUGCUGUGUCUGAGGGGAACUCACACCCUUGAGACAGGACUAAAAGCUCUGCAUUCCUCUGCACGUAAGAUACUCCUGGAGAGACAGAAAUGGAGCCAUUAUUCCUUUAUUUCCGGACACCCUGGGACUGAGAAGUUUGCUGUAUCCUGGUGGUCAUGCCAGUACCCGCAGCCCCCACUCAUUGAGCUGGAGGCGGCACAGAGAAGCCACAGACUUGAGCAGAGCCGUCCUGCCCUCAACCUCAUUAUGCACCACCCUCGAGGCUGCAUGUGCAAAACCAGAUGGUCUGGCGGCAAAGCUGCAGAUGCCAAUCAGGUACUCUAUUGGCAAACAGGCUCGCUAAUCAAGCCCCUUUCAAGCGACAUCUGCUUCCCUCUCCCUACAGGUACACAGAGGAGCACAUGGAGCAGGAGUAACUUGUACAAAGUGACAUGCUGGUGAGGUGCAGAGCUGGGAUUUGAAUCCAGGCUGUAUGCCUUAAGAGUGAGUACUUCCACUGAAUACCAUUAAGACUCUGUUUUAAUAAGGCCUCAUUAUUUCUAUAUAAAUGGGAAUGCAGAGUGUAGAUGGGAAUGAAAGAAGUGAGUCUGAACCACCUGGCACAAGUUCACCUGGGUACACGAUGAAGUCUGUGCGUCCUGGGGAGAUGCUGCAAACGUUCUCACAAGUGUUGCCAGCUUGCGGCAUUUCCUAUUAGAUAAAAGCAAUGGGGACAUUUCGAGAGCCUUUUCCUUGUAAAGAGCUGUCCUUAGCGAACAAUCUCGGGCGCCUUAGUGUUUGCCACAGAGGCUCUUCUCUCAAAUCAUUUUCCUGCCAUGGAAACGGUGCUUUGAAGCUGCGAUUUAAUAUCUGCUACCCGAGUAGAAAGAGCAUGAGCACUUGCAUUGAUGUGUUCUUCAGGAGUUUGCAGGCUUCUGCCUACAAUAGGUGCUCAGAAAAUCAGUGUAAGAUGGGGCCGGGGAGAAGGCGAUCCUUUAAAGCUCUGGAAGGCGUUAGCAGGACACAUACCUGAGACAAAGAAAGCUGCUUCGGCAAGUUUAGUGUUGGGUCAAGACAGGCAGAACUUGUUCACAAGUGGGCUGCAAGGCAAACAAGAGGUCCUGGGUAAAACUGUGCAGGAGACUUCGCAUGUUUCUCAUGGGGUCCUUCUACAUUCAACUGAAACGUUAAUUUUGAUUGAAUUGUAUUUGAGCAAGUGACAAAUGGUUGCACUAAGGUGUGACUUCAUAGGUUUCCAAGUAACCUGCAUUUACCUUAUGAGAAAGGCACUGUUUUGUAGGUGUCAAUGUUAUAGGAAUAUCCAUCCAUGUGUACCAUUUUUGUAGGUAAAGUUUUACUAAGCAUAGAUCUCAGAUUUAACUUGACCAGAAUCAAAAGUAUUUGUUGUUUUUCUACACAUGCACACCCUACUCUGUAUGAACGUCAGGGGAAGGUGGGUGUUGUGGAGACGGUACGGCAGGUACCCAUCUAUAACUGCCAGAGAAAAGUACCUGUCCUGUUACAUUGUCUGAAACGAGCUAUGUCUCCCCAAACCAUAGGACUACAGCUACACUGGUGGCAGCCUUGCCAGUUCUGAGGGAACAAGGGUCGGUGACACCCUAAGCUACAGAUUUGCUUGUCAUCUCUACUGCCGACUCAUGCUGGCCCAGUCACCAGGCUGCAGAAACCUGUCACCUGCUCAGAUGUCAAGGAAAGCAGAGCUGCAGCCGCGACAUGCGAAUCGUCUGUCUCAAAGGCUCUCUGCUGGGCUCUGAUGAAUGCCCAAGUGGCUGGCGGCCGAGUGGAGCUUUGAUUAACUGUGUGGUGUGUACCCACUCAGCUUCAGGGAGAUUGUGUAUUGUCAGUCAGCUGUCUCCUGGGUGCUGAAUUCUCAUUUAAGCUUCUGUAUUUAACAGGAACGUGGAGCGUUCUCUCACUCUGGAGUUAGCAAUGAAGUUCAAAUCAGAUGUAAUUUGCAGUUUUAUAAAGGCUAGGUAAUAUUUUCUGUCUCUGUAAAUAGCUCAGAAACAGAAUUGCUUUUGAUUAUAACUUCUCAUUCUCAAAUUUGCAUUAAAGCGUGCUCCCUAACGAGAUAAAAAUGUUUCUCCACCACACAUCCAUGCGGGGCUUACGCUCACACUUAGCACUGUUCCCAGGUAUGAGACUGUUUGAUUUUAGCUACUAAGACUUCGUGGUUUUAAGGGCAAUUUGAAUGCAUGGGACUUGUUGCACACAGAUGUACGCCCCCAUCCUUCAAAACAGCAGCUAGAUUACAACAGGCCUUGAUGAAUGUGGGUCUUGCAUAGAAACACAAGCUAACAUGUGUCUAAUUGUUUAGCAGCAGAGACCCAUCUCAUGCUCUGUAAAUUAGCAUUCUCUUUAAGAGCCAAAUCAAAUAUUAGAUUCCAGCUCUACAGCUAAGAGUCCAUGGGCGGCACUGUCACCCCCCAGGCUAAUGGUGCUGAUUGCAUAUACAAAGAUUUGGGGGUGGGAGUCUAUGGAUUUCUAACCAGGUCUUCAAAAUUUUGACCUUGUUGCUAGUAUUUUCCAUACACUGAAAUUUAAUGUCAUACCACUUAGCAACAUAAAAUCCAUAUCCAGAUAGAAGAAUUUCUGUGGGAAAGACAAACAGUAUCCUAAAAUCUGAACUAAGAAUAAAGAAGUAUAUUUACUUCUUUUUAAAGAUUUAUUUAAAGGCAAAGAAAUGAAGAAAAGGGUCUUCCACGUCCUGGUUCACUCUACAAAUGGCUGCGACUGUAGUGACUGGGCCAGGCCCAAGCCAGGAGCUUGGAAUGCCAUCUGGGUCUCCUACGUGGGUGGCGGGGGCCCAAGCACUUGGGCCAUCAUAUGCUGCUUUUUCAGGCUCAUUAGUAGGAUCAGAAUCAGAGCAGCUAAGACUUGAACUAGCUCUCCAAUAUAGGAUACAAGCUACUGCCCGCAACACUGCCCCACCCCCGUCUUUCUAAUUGUUUUGAACACAUUUAAAUACGUAAGCUUCUGGCUUUGAUGCUUUGGUGGCAUAUUUAUUAUUUUUUUAAAGUAUGCUUUUUUGAUAUCCCCUGAAAGCCCACACCAUUCCCACCUUCACAGAGCAGUUUCUUUUCCCUAAGUUGUUAAUGAGAGGUCAAAUAGAUAAAAUAAGCAAUCUAAUAGUGAUCAGCCAUAUCAGUGACUGUAAUAAAGAUAAGAGUUGAUUUCAGUGAAAAAGGUAAGACUGAGAUAGUGGAGACAAUGACUACUGAAGGCAGUUUUCACUCUGUAGGGUGAGGGGAAUUAAGGGAGGUGGGUGGACUCUUAAGAGCUGACUAGUUUGAACCAAGGCCAACUUCAUGGGUGUGUGACCUAUGCAGUCUCACAUCACCCUUCAGAGUUUGGUUUACUACUCUGUUGUCGCUGUCUUGUAAUUCCUAACAGUUUUUCAACAAGGCACCUUUGUUUUCAUUUUACACGAAGCUCCACAAAUUACGGAGCUGUUCCUGGAGGAAUCACACAAAAUUACUGAUUUUUACAUCGAAAUGUUCAAAUAUGAGCAAUUUUCUUGUGGCUUGAUAUAUUAACAUUUGGAGAAGGGCCUUGCUCAACUGGGACUCAAAAUGCAGGGGAGAGGUGCCAUCUAGCUGUGCUGAGGCCCUGGGAGACUGAUCAAGCAGUACAAAUCAGAUCUGAAACCAACAGCCACAGGAAUCAACUGCCCUUCCACUUCAUGUUCGCAUUGCUGGGCCUGAUGCUAACAGGCACGGGAAGCAUGUCAGAUGGUCUACUCCAGUCACACACUCUCCCUCUAGUGUGUUUUUGUUGGCAAAACUCAACAUGAGGCCCCUUUUGAUGGAGAAAAUAGGGUUUGCAAAGGCCCCAGCCCAUCUCUACAAAGGAGGGCAGCCUUGGAGCCUAUUUUUUUUUUUUAAAGAUUUACUUAUUUAUUUGAAAGUCAGACAGAUGCAGAGAGGUGGAGAGGCUGGAGGGAGAGGCAGCAAGAGUGGGAGGGAUGAGGCCGUGAGAGUCUGGGAGAGAGGGAGAGAUUGUGUGUAUUACAGUUUCUUUAUCCAGUCCUCAGUUAAUGAACAUCUGGGUUGAUUCCAUAUGCUAGCUAUUGUGAAUUGAGCUACUAUAAACGUGAGAGUAUAGAUAACUCAUAUGCUGAGCCCAUUUCAUUUGGAUUAAUUCCCAGGAGUGAGAUAGUUGGAUCAUACGGUAGAUCUGUCUUUGGAUUUCAGAGGAAUAUGCAUACUCACUUCCAUAAUGAUUGUACCAGUCUACAUUCCCACCAAGAGUGUAUUAGAGUACUGUUUAUGCACCUCCUCACCAGCAUUUGUUCUGUUUUUUGGAUGGUAGCCAUUUCUAACUGGGGUGAAGUGAAAGCUUCUUGUGUUUUUUUAUUUGCAUUUCCCUAACGGUUAGUAAUCCGAGCAUCUUUUCAUGUGUCUUUGGGCCAUUUUUAUUUCAUCCUCUGAGAAAUGCCUGUUCAUACCUGUAUCUUAUUUCUUAACUGGAUUGUUUGCUUUGUUGUUGUUGAAUUUCUUGAACUCCUUAUAUGUUCUGGAUAUUAAUGAGAUGUAUGUUUUGUAAAUGUUUUCUCCCAUUCUGUCAGUUGUGUCUUCACUUUGCUGAGUGUUUCGUUGGCUGGGAAGAAGGCUCUUAGCUUGGGUGUAAUCCAGUUUGUCUAUUUUUGCCUUUAUUGCCUGUGCUUCUGGGGUCUUAUCCAAGAAGUCUUUAACUAUGCCAGUGUCUUGUAGUGUUUUCCCCUAGAAAUAUGAUGGUUUCAGGACUUAGGUUUAGAUCCUUAAUGAUUCUGAGUUGAUUUUUUUGUGUAAUAUGUAAGGUAGGGAUCUUAUUUCAUAUGUCCACAUGCAGAAAUCCAAUUUUUUCAAUAUCAUUUGUUAAAGAGUCCUUUCUCCAGGGAGUGAUUUUAAUUUGUCAAAGAUUAGUUGGUUGUAUAUCUGUGGAUUAAUUUGUGGGGUUUCUAAUCUAUUCUGUUGGUUUACAUGUCUUUUUUUUUUUUUUUUACUAGUAUCAGGCUGUGUUGAUUAUAACCACCUUAAAUUAUGUCUUGAAAUCUGGCAUUGUGAUGUCUCCAGCUUUAUUUGUAUUCUUUGCUUUAGCUAUUUGGGCUCUCUUGUGUUUCUGUAUGAGUUUUAGGGUUGUCUUUUCUAGAUCUGGGAAGAAUGUCUGUGGUAUUUUGAUUAGGAUCACAUUGAAUUUGUACAUUGCUUUGGGAAGUAUGGACAUUUUAAUAAUAUUCUUCAAAUACAUUAACAUGCAAGGUUUUCCAUUUUUUUGUGUGUCUUCCAUUUCUUAAUGUUUUAUAUUUUCAUUGUAGAGAUCUUUUAUGUCCUUGGUUAAAUUUAUCCCAAGGUAUUUAAAUUUUUUGUAGCUAUUGUGAAAAGUUGUUA